GGGAGUGUGGCUCAGUGGUAGAGUGCUUGCUUAGCAUGCAUGAGGCGCUGGGUUGGAGCCUCAGCACCA
Molecule: transfer RNA, 69 nt
Filed under: Ictidomys tridecemlineatus (thirteen-lined ground squirrel)
Lineage: Eukaryota; Metazoa; Chordata; Mammalia; Rodentia; Sciuridae
Description: Spermophilus tridecemlineatus (thirteen-lined ground squirrel) tRNA
Rfam family: tRNA
About the family: Transfer RNA (tRNA) molecules are approximately 80 nucleotides in length.
Source: Rfam by way of RNAcentral